CGAUGGCUCAGUUGGUAGAGCGACGCACUCGUAAUGCGUAGGUCGUGGGUUCGAGUCCCAUUC
Molecule: transfer RNA, 63 nt
Filed under: uncultured Eubacterium sp.
Lineage: Bacteria; Bacillati; Bacillota; Clostridia; Eubacteriales; Eubacteriaceae
Rfam family: tRNA
About the family: Transfer RNA (tRNA) molecules are approximately 80 nucleotides in length.
Source: RNAcentral